GCUAGGGUGUCAGCUAAGUGGCGCACGGGUGAGUAAGGUAUAGCUAACGUGCCCCUUGGAGGGGGAUAACGGCUGGAAACGGCCGCUAAUACCCCAUAUUCCUUCACCACACAAGUGGUGUCGGGAAAUGGAUUCCGCCAAGGGAUCGGGCUAUAUGGUAUCAGCUAGUUGGUAGGGUAACGGCCUACCAAGGCUAUGACGCCUAGCUGGUCUGAGAGGAUGAUCAGCCACACUGGAACUGAGACACGGUCCAGACUCCUACGGGAGGCAGCAGUGGGGAAUAUUGCACAAUGGGCGAAAGCCUGAUGCAGCAACGCCGCGUGGAGGAUGACACCCUUCGGGGCGUAAACUCCUUUUAUGAGGGAAGAUAAUGACGGUACCUCAUGAAUAAGCACCGGCUA
Molecule: ribosomal RNA, 401 nt
Filed under: uncultured bacterium
Lineage: Bacteria
Description: bacterial SSU rRNA
Rfam family: Bacterial small subunit ribosomal RNA
Source: RNAcentral